RNAcentral lists this small nucleolar RNA (136 nucleotides) under Leersia perrieri. RNAcentral's name for it is "snoRNA snoZ247". It matches the Rfam family "Small nucleolar RNA Z247". From Rfam's summary of the family: Z247 is a member of the C/D class of snoRNA which contain the C (UGAUGA) and D (CUGA) box motifs. Most of the members of the box C/D family function in directing site-specific 2'-O-methylation of substrate RNAs. The record is from Rfam by way of RNAcentral. Lineage: Eukaryota; Viridiplantae; Streptophyta; Magnoliopsida; Poales; Poaceae.
GGAGUUGAUGAUGACGAUUUACUCGGUUAUAUAAUUGCUGAGUUAGAUGAAGACUAUGAUCCAGUGAUCUCUUCCAUCAUCGGGCUUCCAGAAUCCACGGUGGCCGAUGCUUUUGCUUAGCUUUUAAGCUUUGACC